GUCGCUAUUACCGAUGGACUUCUCUGUGAGUUUGAGGGACUGGAUUUUAUAUCUAUGGAAACUCAAACGAACAGUGUGGUCUAAA
Molecule: ribosomal RNA, 85 nt
Filed under: uncultured eukaryote
Lineage: Eukaryota
Description: partial small subunit ribosomal RNA
Source: RNAcentral